GACGAACGCUGGCGGCGUGCCUAAUACAUGCAAGUCGAAAGCAGUGGGGACGGGUGAGUAACACGUGGGUAACCUCCCAUCAGAGGGGAUACCACUUGGAAACAGGUGCUAAACCGAUACUGAUGGAUGGACGCGCGGUGCAUUAGCUAGUUGGUGAGGUAACGGCUCACCAAGGCCACGAUGCAUAGCCGACCUGAGGGGGUGAGCGGCCACACUGGGACUGGGACACGGCCCAGACUACGACGGGAGGCAGCAGUAGGGAAUCUUCGGCAAUGGACGAAAGUAUUACCGAGCAACGCCGCGUGAGUGAAGAAGGUUUUCGGAUCGUAAAACGCUGGUGUUAGUGAAGCGGUAUCUAACCAGAGAGCCACGGCUUACUACGUGCCAGCAGCGGCGGUAAUUC
Molecule: ribosomal RNA, 403 nt
Filed under: uncultured bacterium
Lineage: Bacteria
Description: partial 16S ribosomal RNA
Rfam family: Bacterial small subunit ribosomal RNA
Source: RNAcentral